Molecule: long non-coding RNA, 1655 nt
Filed under: Anser cygnoides (Swan goose)
Lineage: Eukaryota; Metazoa; Chordata; Aves; Anseriformes; Anatidae
Description: lncRNA (ENSACDG00005014917.1)
Source: RNAcentral
GUCACAGUUGAAAUUAACCGUGAGGUAUUUAACACUGAAGUGGACAGAGCAAGUACUUGAAAACUGUUGGACUGAAAGUCUCUUCCCAAACAGAAACACACAUGACUUGCUUGGUGUAAGGUCACGCUCAUCACCAAGGUCCCUGGUUCCUUCAUACAGCUGGGAUGAUGAAACCGAGGCCAAGGCUGUAGGCAUCCUGCUGCGAUGUAACAGAGGGGAGAUACCACGGGCAGGUGGGGAAAACUGGCUUUGGAACAGGCCUCCCAUACAAACCUUACACUGCUUCUGCUCUGGCUGCUCUGGGACAAGUUGGCUCUGUGAAACCAGACCAGCAGACAGAUGAGAGACUGAAAUUUGGGACUGUUUUUAUCCCAAAUGAGGACAUGAGCAGAGAGAAUGGAACUCAGAGCUAACGUACUAGCUGAUGCUAAACCUUCAUGGGGUCUGGAAAACCUUUAGUAUUCUGCUCUGUCCCAUUAGAUGGGAAGUGCAAAAUUUAGUCCUCCGCUCUCCAGGUUAGCGCUGCAUAUGCUGGGCUGUGCUCCUGUUUAACCAGAAAACUUAGCCUGAAUCUGAGGAAGAAAAAAAAUCUUCCCUGAGAUAAACUUCGUAAUAAAAAUGUAUUUCUUUUCCUGACAAAACAAAAUUUUUUCAUGGGGUGAAAACUCCAUCCAAAAACACACAGUAAGAAAGCACAUCACAAGAAUACAGGCGAAGUAGUCAUAAACAAUUAGAAUAGUCACUUGGAGAGGGGCCUGAAAUAGCUAAAUAAAUAAAGCUGCUGUAUUUGUGAUAUGUUGAUUAAUGAUGUGGUAAUAGCUGAGACAUGUCUGUAUUAACUAAUUGGCUUUAAAAAACCUAAGCAGAGCCAGGAUCCUCUUUGGGCUGAAGGGGCAUUUGCAGUUUGCCAGCAAGGCAAACAUUGGGAUCAUACCCAACAGAUCUGGGAAAUCACAGCAAAGCCCAGAAAGCACAUGCCUAAUCCUACCCUUCCUCCAAAAAAAAUUGAUAUAUAUAUAGAUAAAAUGGAGCAGAAAGAAUAUUGCUGCCAUUGGAGAAAGGGUGAAAGACUGAGGUGUCCAAGUCAGGCAGGAGGCCCGUGUCAGAGCCAGGAGCUGAAAUCACCUCUCCUGAGGAUGGUCUUUAAUGUCACUGCCAAGAGUGAUAUUAACCAAGAGCUGACCUCCCUGUGGCUCCUGUUGUGUCAGAUCCCUGUGCUAUGUGGGCCCUGCCAUUUGCAUCCAGCUUCUUUGGUUAAUCAUUUUUGCUCAUCUGCCUUCGGUCUGCUUUCUGAGUGGGAAAACCUCGUCUUGGAGAAAGGAGCUGGCUUUACAGAGGCAGGUGGCCCUAGGAAUUCAGGGGGCUGCUGGAAGCUGGCAGAGGCUGCUCCAUGGAGAAGAGGAGAUGGAGGGGCCGGAAAACAUUCCCCCAGCACCGCUGGCACCCUUACCAGGACAGAUCUGGUGCUGGGGGUCAGGCGGAGAGAUAGUGAGAAGGAUUGGGUUUCGUACAGAACGGGAUUGAGAAAUGGAGAGAGGAAUUAUUUUCCAAAGUUUGUGCAGAGACGAAGCUGUGAGUGCUGCUCCCUGGACUCCCACAUCAUAGCACCAGGACCGCCAGCAGAUUGGUGCCAGCAAUAUUCACAUCUCCCGUAG